Molecule: ribosomal RNA, 736 nt
Filed under: Brevibacterium sp.
Lineage: Bacteria; Bacillati; Actinomycetota; Actinomycetes; Micrococcales; Brevibacteriaceae
Description: bacterial SSU rRNA
Rfam family: Bacterial small subunit ribosomal RNA
Source: RNAcentral
UCGACUUCGGGAUAAGCCCGGGAAACUGGGUCUAAUACCGGAUAUGACGACCGAAGGCAUCUUUGGUUGUGGAAAGUUUUUUCGGUUGGGGAUGGGCUCGCGGCCUAUCAGUUUGUUGGUGAGGUAAUGGCUCACCAAGACGACGACGGGUAGCCGGCCUGAGAGGGCGACCGGCCACACUGGGACUGAGACACGGCCCAGACUCCUACGGGAGGCAGCAGUGGGGAAUAUUGCACAAUGGGGGAAACCCUGAUGCAGCGACGCAGCGUGCGGGAUGACGGCCUUCGGGUUGUAAACCGCUUUCAGCAGGGAAGAAGCCUUUCGGGGUGACGGUACCUGCAGAAGAAGUACCGGCUAACUACGUGCCAGCAGCCGCGGUAAUACGUAGGGUACAAGCGUUGUCCGGAAUUAUUGGGCGUAAAGAGCUCGUAGGUGGUUGGUCACGUCUGCUGUGGAAACGCAACGCUUAACGUUGCGCGUGCAGUGGGUACGGGCUGACUAGAGUGCAGUAGGGGAGUCUGGAAUUCCUGGUGUAGCGGUGAAAUGCGCAGAUAUCAGGAGGAACACCGGUGGCGAAGGCGGGACUCUGGGCUGUAACUGACACUGAGGAGCGAAAGCAUGGGGAGCGAACAGGAUUAGAUACCCUGGUAGUCCAUGCCGUAAACGUUGGGCACUAGGUGUGGGGGACAUUCCACGUUCUCCGCGCCGUAGCUAACGCAUUAAGUGCCCCCCGCCU